This 2459-nucleotide ribosomal RNA is filed under the name Staphylococcus aureus M16552. Its description in RNAcentral is "bacterial LSU rRNA". It matches the Rfam family "Bacterial large subunit ribosomal RNA", at positions 3 to 2460 of the family's 2925-position model. Lineage: Bacteria; Bacillati; Bacillota; Bacilli; Caryophanales; Staphylococcaceae. The record is from RNAcentral.
UUAAGUUAUUAAGGGCGCACGGUGGAUGCCUUGGCACUAGAAGCCGAUGAAGGACGUUACUAACGACGAUAUGCUUUGGGGAGCUGUAAGUAAGCUUUGAUCCAGAGAUUUCCGAAUGGGGAAACCCAGCAUGAGUUAUGUCAUGUUAUCGAUAUGUGAAUACAUAGCAUAUCAGAAGGCACACCCGGAGAACUGAAACAUCUUAGUACCCGGAGGAAGAGAAAGAAAAUUCGAUUCCCUUAGUAGCGGCGAGCGAAACGGGAAGAGCCCAAACCAACAAGCUUGCUUGUUGGGGUUGUAGGACACUCUAUACGGAGUUACAAAGGACGACAUUAGACGAAUCAUCUGGAAAGAUGAAUCAAAGAAGGUAAUAAUCCUGUAGUCGAAAAUGUUGUCUCUCUUGAGUGGAUCCUGAGUACGACGGAGCACGUGAAAUUCCGUCGGAAUCUGGGAGGACCAUCUCCUAAGGCUAAAUACUCUCUAGUGACCGAUAGUGAACCAGUACCGUGAGGGAAAGGUGAAAAGCACCCCGGAAGGGGAGUGAAAUAGAACCUGAAACCGUGUGCUUACAAGUAGUCAGAGCCCGUUAAUGGGUGAUGGCGUGCCUUUUGUAGAAUGAACCGGCGAGUUACGAUUUGAUGCAAGGUUAAGCAGUAAAUGUGGAGCCGUAGCGAAAGCGAGUCUGAAUAGGGCGUUUAGUAUUUGGUCGUAGACCCGAAACCAGGUGAUCUACCCUUGGUCAGGUUGAAGUUCAGGUAACACUGAAUGGAGGACCGAACCGACUUACGUUGAAAAGUGAGCGGAUGAACUGAGGGUAGCGGAGAAAUUCCAAUCGAACCUGGAGAUAGCUGGUUCUCUCCGAAAUAGCUUUAGGGCUAGCCUCAAGUGAUGAUUAUUGGAGGUAGAGCACUGUUUGGACGAGGGGCCCCUCUCGGGUUACCGAAUUCAGACAAACUCCGAAUGCCAAUUAAUUUAACUUGGGAGUCAGAACAUGGGUGAUAAGGUCCGUGUUCGAAAGGGAAACAGCCCAGACCACCAGCUAAGGUCCCAAAAUAUAUGUUAAGUGGAAAAGGAUGUGGCGUUGCCCAGACAACUAGGAUGUUGGCUUAGAAGCAGCCAUCAUUUAAAGAGUGCGUAAUAGCUCACUAGUCGAGUGACACUGCGCCGAAAAUGUACCGGGGCUAAACAUAUUACCGAAGCUGUGGAUUGUCCUUUGGACAAUGGUAGGAGAGCGUUCUAAGGGCGUUGAAGCAUGAUCGUAAGGACAUGUGGAGCGCUUAGAAGUGAGAAUGCCGGUGUGAGUAGCGAAAGACGGGUGAGAAUCCCGUCCACCGAUUGACUAAGGUUUCCAGAGGAAGGCUCGUCCGCUCUGGGUUAGUCGGGUCCUAAGCUGAGGCCGACAGGCGUAGGCGAUGGAUAACAGGUUGAUAUUCCUGUACCACCUAUAAUCGUUUUAAUCGAUGGGGGGACGCAGUAGGAUAGGCGAAGCGUGCGAUUGGAUUGCACGUCUAAGCAGUAAGGCUGAGUAUUAGGCAAAUCCGGUACUCGUUAAGGCUGAGCUGUGAUGGGGAGAAGACAUUGAGUCUUCGAGUCGUUGAUUUCACACUGCCGAGAAAAGCCUCUAGAUAGAAAAUAGGUGCCCGUACCGCAAACCGACACAGGUAGUCAAGAUGAGAAUUCUAAGGUGAGCGAGCGAACUCUCGUUAAGGAACUCGGCAAAAUGACCCCGUAACUUCGGGAGAAGGGGUGCUCUUUAGGGUUAACGCCCAGAAGAGCCGCAGUGAAUAGGCCCAAGCGACUGUUUAUCAAAAACACAGGUCUCUGCUAAACCGUAAGGUGAUGUAUAGGGGCUGACGCCUGCCCGGUGCUGGAAGGUUAAGAGGAGUGGUUAGCUUCUGCGAAGCUACGAAUCGAAGCCCCAGUAAACGGCGGCCGUAACUAUAACGGUCCUAAGGUAGCGAAAUUCCUUGUCGGGUAAGUUCCGACCCGCACGAAAGGCGUAACGAUUUGGGCACUGUCUCAACGAGAGACUCGGUGAAAUCAUAGUACCUGUGAAGAUGCAGGUUACCCGCGACAGGACGGAAAGACCCCGUGGAGCUUUACUGUAGCCUGAUAUUGAAAUUCGGCACAGCUUGUACAGGAUAGGUAGGAGCCUUUGAAACGUGAGCGCUAGCUUACGUGGAGGCGCUGGUGGGAUACUACCCUAGCUGUGUUGGCUUUCUAACCCGCACCACUUAUCGUGGUGGGAGACAGUGUCAGGCGGGCAGUUUGACUGGGGCGGUCGCCUCCUAAAAGGUAACGGAGGCGCUCAAAGGUUCCCUCAGAAUGGUUGGAAAUCAUUCAUAGAGUGUAAAGGCAUAAGGGAGCUUGACUGCGAGACCUACAAGUCGAGCAGGGUCGAAAGACGGACUUAGUGAUCCGGUGGUUCCGCAUGGAAGGGCCAUCGCUCAACGGAUAAA